This 253-nucleotide ribosomal RNA is filed under the name uncultured bacterium. Its description in RNAcentral is "partial 16S ribosomal RNA". It matches the Rfam family "Bacterial small subunit ribosomal RNA", at positions 524 to 776 of the family's 1533-position model. The record is from RNAcentral.
UACGUAGGGGGCAAGCGUUGUCCGGAAUCAUUGGGCGUAAAGCGCGCGUAGGCGGCUCGAUCAGUCUGCUGUAAAAGUCAAAGGCUCAACCUUUGAAUGCCGGUGGAUACUGUCGGGCUAGAGUCCGGAAGAGGCGAGUGGAAUUCCUGGUGUAGCGGUGGAAUGCGCAGAUAUCAGGAGGAACACCAACGGCGAAGGCAGCUCGCUGGGACGGUACUGACGCUAAGGCGUGAAAGCGUGGGGAGCGAACAGG